AGGUCACAGGCCCCGUCCCGCCGCCCGCCCCGGACCUGCUCUCCGUUUGGCCGCCUCCUGGUGCUGCGGACCGCCGUGCUUGUGUUCGUGUCGGAGCGGCGGCUUGGGCUGGGCUCGGCCGUCGGGCGGCGGCAGCCUCUGAUAAUCCCCACCAGAACACGUUCAGUGGGGCGAUCGGCAGCUCCUGCCUCUGCCCCGAGCAUACUCGCCGCCGGAGCAAAGGGCCAGCGAGACCCUCCCCGCCGCUUGCCUCUCGGGCCCGUGGCUCCGUUCCCUCCUCAACACAGAGGCAGACACCACCAGACCCAAGGAUUCUCCACGGACACCCCGGCAGUACUGAGACAAGGGGGUCGAUCUGAGCACAGAGCAGCGAGGGACGGAGGCAGGAGUUCAUCGGGAGGGUAGGGGAAGGGCAGAGAGAGGGAUGGGGAGAGCCGAGGUUGGCUGGAGGUGGAGGCAGAGUCCUGCUCCGAGUUAUUUGCUAUUCCGGUGUGAUUAAUUGCCUCCAAAUGCUCACAGUGUGCGCCACAGCAAACAGGGAGGGAGGGUGACGAGAAAAUGUGAUCAGGUAGUUAAAGACUUAUAGCUGAUGUGCACGAAAACAAUAAAGAGCUAUUUCCUCACUUCUCAGGGCUUCCACUCGCAGCUUUAAUGCCCUGCUAUUUUUUAAGUAUUUUAAUGAAGUAAACAAAAUUAAUAAAGUUCCCGUGUCCAGACAGCCCUAUCAGGCCUUGGCUGUGUUUCUGCUGGGCACUGUACAAAAGACAGAGCCCUUGCCCGGAGAUUUUACAGUUCCCAAGUUUUGUUUCAACAGACCAUAGUUGAAAGUUUAUGCCUCAAGCACAGCUUCCCACUCCACCCUCCUCUUUAAUACAUAGGAGGUAAAACUUUUCCUAGCAGAAAUACCAACUUCUGCGUUAACAUAGAGGACUUUUUCCAAGAUUUGAGGCGCCUGAAAUAUCGUGAGUUCUGUGCCAAAGCGGCCCCGCAGUUUCCGUUUCUUUCAGCACAAUGCAAAGCAAUUUAAAAUGCAGUGAAACCAUUUAAGCAAGCAAGCGUGAACUUUGGGCUUUACCCAUGCUCUCAGGAAUAACGGUCCUUUCAAACGCUGACUCAUAGAGUGACCUCACAUUGCUUAGGAGACAAGUCUUGAAACGAGGAGUCAGGCUUUAAUCACAGUUGACAUUUUAUUGGUGGCUUGGAAGAAUUUAUUUUUAAUAUAAAGAGUUGGCUUGAAGACAUAAACUUCAAAAGACUCUGAAGAAAGUAAACAACGAUGGACAAAGCAGCUCUGCGCACACAUAUACCAGAAAUCUGAAUACAGAGCGUGGCGGGUUGUCUCUUCGUGAAAAAUAAAGCAACUAUUUUGCUGCUUAGAA
Phalacrocorax carbo (great cormorant) is the source of this 1379-nucleotide non-coding RNA. The record is from RefSeq and is a predicted model, not a curated record. NCBI's taxonomy places the organism in Eukaryota, Metazoa, Chordata, Aves, Suliformes, Phalacrocoracidae.